GUAGAAUAAACUUGCAUAAUAGUGCAAUGAUGUCUGAUUGCACAUGGACAAACUGGCGGUUCUGCUGGGUGGAAGGUGUCAGUGAUUUGGUCUUUUGUGUGACAAUACCUGUUGCCGCUGUGGAGCGAAAGCGUCUGUUUCUGCAACACAAGUGGCUUUGUGAUAAGUGAUUAGAAUUGAAGACGAGGGCCUUGUCAGCACACACUCUUCAGAUUUGAGGUCAGACUGGCCCCCUGAUUGUGUGUUUUUUUUUAGGGGGAGGCUGGAGGGAGAGAGUUUACUGUCGCUUCAUUGAAGCCUCCAUCACCACCUGCUGAGGUUUGAGUCCCCACUGUCUGUUUCAUCGUUCUCCGCAUCCACCCCUCCUCAUCCUCCCUUUUUCUCUCUCAUUUCCCUCUUCUCAGCCCCCACCCACUCUGGCCCACCGCCUGCUCUUUUGCUCACCCCCCAUGUUCGCAAAUCACUUCUUCCCGUGUCAGCAGGUAAAUUGUUUUGUCCUCCCGCUCCCUGCUUUCAUUACCUUGUGUAAAUUAAGCGAUAUGUCGUCCACCAGUGCGCGCCAAAGCACUCGCCGCGCCAACGCCAAAAUCAUGAGAUUUGGCAUAAUAAAUGAAGACAAACUGGCUGUAGCAGUGCUCCUCUCCAUGCGGGCUUGCCUUCAUUAUUCGCUUAACUUGCCGGAGAAAAUGACUUAACCCUGACCCGUGUAUUACGUCCCAAAUUCACUCCAGAUAAAAGCCUUUUUACAGCGCACAACAAUUUAUAUUCCGGCAAAGAGGCUGCUUUUCUCUGUCAGUUUUCCAAUCUCAGCUCCUCAACACACGUCAUUAAACUUGUCUUGCCUUCCUGUAUUUGUCCAUCAGUCCUCCUUUUUACAUAAAAUCUGGCAGCAUUAUUCUGGGAUUUGAUGGCACACGCUCAUUUUUUCCCCUUGGAAUGUUUGAUUGGAAGAAAUAUAGCCAGGCCUAGGCUAUCUCCUCUCCUCUGUGGAAUCAUGCACUUGAUGAAAUAGUGUUCCCCCAGCAAGAAUAAUAAAAACAGACUUGUGCAUUACAGGGGGCUCUCAAUCUGCCAGCUGAGCUGAGCGAAAAAACCCACCCUGCCUCGUGACAGAUUUUUAUAGUUAUCCCUGCAGAUAAAUGGAAACGGCUGACCAGGCUGGGAAAGGCCACUCUGAAAUGAGGGGCCGGUGCUCUCUCUCUCCAGAGGUGUCAGCAAUAUCAAGCUCACUUAAAUGUGAAAGUGGGGCGAUCCACAGAAGAUUUUGGGCCAACCGGCCACUAAUUACACACACCAGGGCUAUUUAGGCUAAGUAGUGGCAGCCCUGGAGGCGCCGGUUCCACAUGCUUGGUUCUCCUGUUCAUUGGUACACGUACUUUUACGCCACUGG
Long non-coding RNA from Entelurus aequoreus (snake pipefish), 1390 nucleotides. RefSeq lists it as uncharacterized. The transcript has 3 exons. NCBI's taxonomy places the organism in Eukaryota, Metazoa, Chordata, Actinopteri, Syngnathiformes, Syngnathidae. The record is from RefSeq and is a predicted model, not a curated record.